Long non-coding RNA from Gossypium arboreum, 648 nucleotides. RefSeq lists it as uncharacterized. The record is from RefSeq and is a predicted model, not a curated record. The transcript has 2 exons. Lineage: Eukaryota; Viridiplantae; Streptophyta; Magnoliopsida; Malvales; Malvaceae.
UGUUCUCAUAUCUAUGUUAUUAGGCAUAUAAUUUAUGAUUAACUCUAUUCUAUGUAUAUUGUUGCUUUCAUAUUAUUUUUCCACCAAGUUUGUUCUUUUGUUGCUAAGCUUUUACUGAGCAUAACAAACAGUAACUCCAUUGCUGCUCUCUCUCAACAGAUUUUCCGAGGCUGUUGUCGUCUUCCAAACAGAACUCAGAAUCUGAUUCGUCCUCUCACUCACUCUCAGCUCCGCCUUCGGAUUUGGUAAUUCAGGAUGCAGGCGUCAUCGCAUUUAGUCAGAGGGAAUUUCGGCAUUGAGAUUUCAAAACGGAGAGUAUUCCCUUGCUUUGGUGAAGUUAGGCAACGGAGUUUAACUUUGAAUCGCAAUUUUUGCAUCCGAAGUGGUUCCACCUGCAGCGGUUUAAGAUCAGGUGACGUUUCGAUGGGAGCAGGACUUGUACGUGCCAAAAAUGGUAUCGAAACUGCCGUUCGCUCUUCGGUCAAAUCUCGAUCGAUCAAAGCUCAAGCCUCUGGUCUCUUUCUCUUUCUCGUUUUCGUUUUCCUUUCACUUUUAAGCUGUGUGUCGUGGUUGAAUCUGUUUAUUGAAUUUAUGUUGAAUUUUUAGGUGAGGAAAAUUGCUUAAUGAAAGAAUUGCAUGUUAGUGAAA